CGGGCCCGCGGACAAGUCCCGCAGACGCGCGCGCUCGCCCGGUCGCGUGUCAGCCGUCAUUACUCAAGCAACUCGCGCGCGUAAUCGUUUACGAUAAUUGUUGCAAAUUUUGGUGGAAUUAUCUAAGUAAACGGAGUUGAGUAAAGUGUGAUUAUUUCGCUAGAGCGACCAAGAUAGUGAAAUGACAGUGAAGACGCAGUGGGCGCAGCUGGCUGCAGUUCGGGGAGCGAUCAACCAAGUACUGCUUGUGUUUUUGAUCAAUGUACCGACGGUGUCGUUCGGGCUGGCGCUGGGCUGGGUGUCGCUGGUCAGCGGCGAGACAGCGGCGGGCGAGGGCGGUGGCGCGGGAGGCAAGGGUGGCGAUGAAGCGGGGCGAGCCGCUGUGAUAGCCUCCGUG
This 397-nucleotide unclassified non-coding RNA is filed under the name Melitaea cinxia (Glanville fritillary). Its description in RNAcentral is "misc RNA ENSMCXG00005009469.1". The record is from RNAcentral. Lineage: Eukaryota; Metazoa; Arthropoda; Insecta; Lepidoptera; Nymphalidae.